Rhineura floridana is the source of this 2284-nucleotide RNA transcript. RefSeq lists it as uncharacterized. The transcript is spliced from 5 exons. Lineage: Eukaryota; Metazoa; Chordata; Lepidosauria; Squamata; Rhineuridae. The record is from RefSeq and is a predicted model, not a curated record.
CCCAUCCUGAAUUGGCAAUUCCUAAACCUUGUGACAGCAGGCAAAACAUUCAUCAUCCAUGUCCUCAUCCUGAGCCAGAGCCAUCACCUUGUUCUGAAAGAGAUGUUCCUGAUUAUGAGUUUGAAAAGCCUGAAGCAGUUCAUACAGUUUUCAGCAAAAUCCUUGCAGCUCUUAAUGAGCCCAGCACCAACUAUGUACUGAGUUUUGCCAACAAGCUGUAUGGAAACAAGGACAUUGUCUUUAUCCAGGCCACCAGAGGGAACUAUUACUCUAAUGAUUACCUGUUCUACAACGUCCUUCACCAGAAAAAACAAGUGUUCUGAAACUAAGGAGAGACACUGAAUUCAAUGGGUCCCUCCGCCAAGCUACAUCUCUUCUGGCUUUCAGGAGGCAGUUUCUAGGAUAGGGGUUCUUGAAGCUGCAGCACCCAGAGCGGAUCCAGCACUUCAUACGCCUUCAGCAUGUUUGCCAACUGUUCCAGCCCAAAUUUCUUCUGUCACGCCUCCUGUUCCGAUGGCUGUUGAGCCUAUGCAAGUUCAGCUGCCUGUCUCGCGUGACGUUACCGCUUGUACUCCAGGGGCUUCCGUGUUUGCAGCACCGGACGUGGUUGCCUCACCUGAUGCUUAUACAGGUUUGGCAACCAUUCCAAUUCCAGUAAGGAUCGUCUUGUGUGGCUACUCAAUUUUGUUUUGGGCUCAUCGAAGGGCAUCCUCGUCAGUUCCUGGAACACAGCUGCAGCUUUCGGCCACAGCUACGGUUCAGUGGGAAGCCCGGAGGGGCAUGUUAUGGGAUGCGUUGCUGCCUAUUGUGUGCCUUAUCAUGUCCUUUUCUGAUAGGCCACACAUAUUGUUAAUUCAUUUGGGUGAAAAUGAUUUGGUGCAGCGUCCUGGGUUGAAUUUGCUGCUUAAGGUUACGCGUGAUCUCACGUGGCUUAUCCGCUCAUAUCCCACUCUUAUAAUUGUAUGGUCUGAAAUGCUUGUUAGAAGGGUAUGGAGGGGUGCAGUGUAUCCCAAUAAGUUAGAUAGAUCCAGGAAAUGGGUUAAUAGGAAGGUCAGGGAUUUAGUUUUGUCCCUUGGUGGGGCAGUUAUUCAUCAUGAUAGGAUCAAGUUCCAUGCCCCACAUCUGUUUCACGAUGACAGUGUUCAUCUUUCUGAUAAGGUUGUGACCUGUUUUUGGAGGAUCUUAUGGGGGGAUUAAAGGGUUUGUUAUCUUCUUUGGGUGGAGGGGACCAAGCUUAAGCUGAUCCCCUCUUGUGGCAUAGAAUUCGGGCAGGUGAGGUAGAUGGGGGUUAAAUUUAGGCGGUUAAGGCAUCAUGAAAAAGGGACACUCCCUAGGGAACCAUCAGGGCUUUGUGUCUGGUGGCGAUCUUGGUUGUGUCCUUGUGGGACCUGCUUGCGCAUCAUGGUGAACGCCUGUACGGCGGGGCCAUGGUGUGGAGGUUGGAACCACACAGAUGGCUCCAAGAGCAAGGAGGGAGGAUUUCACCCACGUCCUUGACUCUGGGGUGAAGUAAUGAAGAGAAUGGAUACCUUUAGAAGGUGAGGGCAUAAUCCCUCGUGGUUAGGUUUAGCCUCACCUGCCUGAAGAGGUGAAUAUUAGAAUAAUUGGCUGUAUUGCAUUUGAUUAGGAUGUUAUAUUUUAAUAAAUAUAACAUUAUUCCAGUCUUGUGUCACGAGUCUUCUUUGUGUGGGAGCAAUGGCGUUCCUGAUUAGGGGCAUAUUUGCUUCCACCAUAAUUAUGAGAAGACUUGGGAACAUUCUCGAAUCAAGCGUUGGAGCCACGUGAGACCGCUCAUCCAAUUAGGAAGGGCGCAGGGCAGCAGAUAUAAGGCUGCUCCGUCCUUCCCGCGCUUGCCUUUUUCGCCUUGCGGCACCCACCCUCCCUCCCUUGUCAGCAUGGGCUUUGCUGUUUGCCUGAAUGGGGCCAAGUAGGAAUUUUUUGGGGGGGAUCCUGAUUUCAGAAUCCCUUUGGUUUUGCCUACUCCAUACUGCUCGGGUUUAAUUCAAUUGGCUUCUCGGUUGGGUCGGGAUGCGUCUGCUUUGGCUGGCAUAGAAUUCGGGCAGGUGAGGUAGAUGGGGGUUAAAUUUAGGCGGUUAAGGCAUCAUGAAAAAGGGACACUCCCUAGGGAACCAUCAGGGCUUUGUGUCUGGUGGCGAUCUUGGUUGUGUCCUUGUGGGACCAGCUUGCGCAUCAUGGUGAACGCCUGUACGGCGGGGCCAUGGUGUGGAGGUUGGAACCACACAGAUGGCUCCAAGAGCAAGGAGGGAGGAUUUCACCCACGUCC